AUUGAACGCUGGCGGCAGGCCUAACACAUGCAAGUCGAGCGGAUGAAGGGAGCUUGCUCCUGGAUUCAGCGGCGGACGGGUGAGUAAUGCCUAGGAACCUGCCUGGUAGUGGGGGAUAACGUCCGGAAACGGGCGCUAAUACCGCAUACGUCCUGAGGGAGAAAGUGGGGGAUCUUCGGACCUCACGCUAUCAGAUGAGCCUAGGUCGGAUUAGCUAGUUGGUGGGGUAAAGGCCUACCAAGGCGACGAUCCGUAACUGGUCUGAGAGGAUGAUCAGUCACACUGGAACUGAGACACGGUCCAGACUCCUACGGGAGGCAGCAGUGGGGAAUAUUGGACAAUGGGCGAAAGCCUGAUCCAGCCAUGCCGCGUGUGUGAAGAAGGUCUUCGGAUUGUAAAGCACUUUAAGUUGGGAGGAAGGGCAGUAAGUUAAUACCUUGCUGUUUUGACGUUACCAACAGAAUAAGCACCGGCUAACUUCGUGCCAGCAGCCGCGGUAAUACGAAGGGUGCAAGCGUUAAUCGGAAUUACUGGGCGUAAAGCGCGCGUAGGUGGUUCAGCAAGUUGGAUGUGAAAUCCCCGGGCUCAACCUGGGAACUGCAUCCAAAACUACUGAGCUAGAGUACGGUAGAGGGUGGUGGAAUUUCCUGUGUAGCGGUGAAAUGCGUAGAUAUAGGAAGGAACACCAGUGGCGAAGGCGACCACCUGGACUGAUACUGACACUGAGGUGCGAAAGCGUGGGGAGCAAACAGGAUUAGAUACCCUGGUAGUCCACGCCGUAAACGAUGUCGACUAGCCGUUGGGAUCCUUGAGAUCUUAGUGGCGCAGCUAACGCGAUAAGUCGACCGCCUGGGGAGUACGGCCGCAAGGUA
Molecule: ribosomal RNA, 872 nt
Filed under: uncultured Pseudomonadales bacterium
Lineage: Bacteria; Pseudomonadati; Pseudomonadota; Gammaproteobacteria; Pseudomonadales
Description: bacterial SSU rRNA
Rfam family: Bacterial small subunit ribosomal RNA
Source: RNAcentral